Molecule: ribosomal RNA, 492 nt
Filed under: uncultured bacterium
Lineage: Bacteria
Description: partial 16S ribosomal RNA
Rfam family: Bacterial small subunit ribosomal RNA
Source: RNAcentral
AGUGAACGCUGGCGGUAGGCCUAACACAUGCAAGUCGAACGGCAGCACAGUAAGAGCUUGCUCUUACGGGUGGCGAGUGGCGGACGGGUGAGGAAUACAUCGGAAUCUACUUUUUCGUGGGGGAUAACGUAGGGAAACUUACGCUAAUACCGCAUACGACCUACGGGUGGAAGCAGGGGAUCUUCGGACCUUGCGCGAUCGAAUGAGCCGAUGUCGGAUUAGCUAGUUGGCGGGGUAAAGGCCCACCAAGGCGACGAUCCGUAGCUGGUCUGAGAGGAUGAUCAGCCACACUGGAACUGAGACACGGUCCAGACUCCUACGGGAGGCAGCAGUGGGGAAUAUUGGACAAUGGGCGCAAGCCUGAUCCAGCCAUACCGCGUGGGUGAAGAAGGCCUUCGGGUUGUAAAGCCCUUUUGUUGGGAAAGAAAAGCAGCAGGUUAAUACCCCGCUGUUCUGACGGUACCCAAAGAAUAAGCACCGGCUAACUUCGUG